GACGAACGCUGGCGGCGUGCUUAACACAUGCAAGUCGAACGGUGAACCUCUUCGGAGGGGAUCAGUUGCGGACGGGUGAGUAACACGUGGGCAACCUGCCCCCGGCUCUGGGAUAACUCCAAGAAAUUGGGGCUAAUACCGGAUGUUCACCGCUUCCCGCAUGGGUGGUGGUGGGAAGGGUUUCCGGCUGGGGAUGGGCGCGCGGCCCAGCAGUUUGUUGGUGGGGUAGUGGCCUACCAAGGCGACGACGGGUAGCCGGCCUGAGAGGGUGACCGGCCACACUGGGACUGAGAUACGGCCCAGACUCCUACGGGAGGCAGCAGUGGGGAAUAUUGCGCAAUGGGCGGAAGCCUGACGCAGCAACGCCGCGUGGGGGAUGACGGCCUUCGGGUUGUAAACCUCUUUCACCAGGGACGAAGCGCAAGUGACGGUACCUGCAGAAGAAGCACCGGCCAACUACGUG
This 463-nucleotide ribosomal RNA is filed under the name uncultured bacterium. Its description in RNAcentral is "partial 16S ribosomal RNA". It matches the Rfam family "Bacterial small subunit ribosomal RNA", at positions 28 to 507 of the family's 1533-position model. The record is from RNAcentral.